This 402-nucleotide long non-coding RNA is filed under the name Phoenix dactylifera (date palm). Its description in RNAcentral is "long non-coding RNA (PDAC_LNC017816)". The record is from RNAcentral. Lineage: Eukaryota; Viridiplantae; Streptophyta; Magnoliopsida; Arecales; Arecaceae.
GCGUCCUCCUGGAGAGUCCUGCAAGAAGCCGGUGGCCGGGAUCUCCGGCGCCGGCCCUCCGAUGCUUAAGUCAGAGGGGGCUAGUAUAUGAGUGGAGUAAAAGAGGGGAAUGUUUGUUCUUGUGUCUGUCCCCUUUCUUUUUUCCCCCAGGUUCCCUUUUAUAGAAGGAUAUUAUGUUACCUGAGAGGUGACAGGGCAAAUUGUCUUCUUCGUGAUAAUUGGGCACGAUCAUGCUCAUUAAUGGCGUUGUGGAGAAUGAGACCGGAUCAGACCGGAGUCAGCGAAUUGUCAUGGUUGAUCAGACCUGUUGGAGUGGUUCAACCGCCGGCCGUGGUGGGCCUGGGGUUCGUAGAUAGCAAGUGCAUUAAUUGCUGAGUGAACCGGUGAUCAGGGAGAGCCAUA